GGAAAAUGCCCCCGGAGCGGAGUGGCCUGCUUGACCGCGCAGGGAUCCGCGACGCGCGCGGGAGGCCGCCGGGGACCGUCUGCNNNNNNNNNNNNNNNNNNNNNNNNNNNNNNNNNNNNNNNNNNNNNNNNNNNNNNNNNNNNNNNNNNNNNNNNNNNGUCUGCGCCCCUUGGGGCGUCGAGGCUGGCCACCGAAACGCCACAGGCUACUGUCGCGAGUAGGCUGAGUAAACUGGGUAGGAACUCGGAGCUCGCGGGUGACAACCCGGAGGGGCCCUGACCCCAUUCCCUACUCCAUCCUCUCCGUGGGACUCCAGCUUGGCGAGGCUGCGGCCAGGAUGUAGCUGUCCCCACUGUGAAGGAGCCCCCAGGGUGACCAGCUGCGAGUAUCUAAUUGGGCUGCUUUGCAGACCUAAUGAGAUUAGAGGGAGGAAUCGUUUGCCGCCACUGCAGAAUAAACUGAUACAUUACUACCAGCCACAGGUUUGGAGGAUUGUAAGCUUGUUUUUUUUUUUUCUUCUUCUUUUGUUGUUAUUCCUCUAUUUUCUCUUUCCCCCUCCUGCCAAAUAAUUAUUUGCAAGUAGAUCGUGGGAAAAAAAAGCGGAGAAAAAAUCCUAGCAUCCUAGGACUAUAAUACAUAUCUAUUUAUUAUAUGUCUUUCGGUUAAUUCCAGAUCUGAGGAGCGCUGUUUUUCACUCCUAUGCGAAAGUCACCAGCGGGUAGGGCCUGAUUGCUACUUUUCAUGCAUAGUUUUAGACACAAGAGGGCAUUGUGACGUCGCUCCCGGCAGCGCCCAAUUGCAGGGCCAGUUCCGCGGCCCCACGUGGGGGUCCCGCGCUUCCAUUGGCCAGCGCCGAGCGAAGCUGCCACAUUAUUUUGUUACUUUUCAGUCCCUAUUUGGAACUGCUCUCGCGGCAGUUCAGACCUCGUGCUCUUCCUCUUCGCCUGUGUGUGGUAUCCGCAGGUCUGAGGCACUUUUUUGGCGCUCUCCUGCCGGCGCGCUCCGAUCGCUCCUCGCCCGGGACGCAGCGCUCGAGUUGGAAGCACCGAGGACCCUUGGCUGAGGCUUCCCGUGCCCACUGGAGUUAGGAUGUUGCCUUGUGCCUACUGAGCCCAGAGUUCCUCUUGGCCCCGGGAAAGGCUUGAAGCGGCGGCGGCAGCGGCAGUAGCGGCAGUAGCAGACGGAACAACAGGAUCCUCUUCGAGGGGGGCGUCGAAGCGCCCGCGCCGGGCUCUAGCUCUCACCCUCCGGCGGUUUUGCGGCGCCGAGCCGUCGCCUGUGUGCCAACCUCCUUCCUUUCCUCGCCGUGAGCCCCGGCCCGGCUGCCUCUAGGAUCUGACUUGCCAGCCCCGAAUGCUUGGGGCUACCCCCGCGCGCCCCCUUCGAGGCUCCCCGCACUGAGUGAUCCACAGGGGGCCCUCGCACCCCUCUGGAGGGACCCCCGGCCUCGGGACCCUGCGCCGGACCCAACGAUGUCCGCGCAGCCCCCGGCUCUGACGCUCUGC
RNAcentral lists this long non-coding RNA (1505 nucleotides) under Fukomys damarensis (Damara mole-rat). Its description in RNAcentral is "lncRNA (ENSFDAG00000033429.1)". Lineage: Eukaryota; Metazoa; Chordata; Mammalia; Rodentia; Bathyergidae. The record is from RNAcentral.